GCUGAAGUCUCCUCGUUCAAACUGCUGGUGAGGACACUGGACCCGCUGGGUUCCCUUCUGGGCCCAGCUGGAGCCCCGGUACUGCAGACCGCUGCGCUGCUUCCUCCACACGGUGCUGCAGGGACAGGACAGGUGAGGACAGAUGAUGGCCGAAUCUGAGGACAAACUGCGGCAUUUACAGGGAAGAACCGCCUGAGAACCGGCGGCGACCAGAACCUCCACCUUCUCAGGGCGAACAUCUGCAGCAGAAACAUCAAGUUUCCUCAGAAAACUCAUAAGAACCUGAAGGUCGGUGCACCUCGGUGUGAGGAUGAAGGUUACCUGAGAUGAAGAAGAAGAGGAAGAUCCCCCCACAGAGGAGCUCCGGUAGCCUCAUGCUUCUGUUUUGGUGGAAACGUUGAGCGUCUGUGAGUUCCUUCCUUCUGCUGCAGCGUCUGUGGUGUUUCUGGUUUUAUGAGCAGCUGUGGGCGUCUGGUGGUUCCUCGUCAUGUGACUGGAAACUGUCAGACGCUAGCAGGGAGUCCCACCUCCGCCCUCGGAUUCUCUCACCUGCUUCCUCCUGCGUCAAACUCUUCUUCUGAAACAUCUCCACGUUUGGUCUGCAGCUGUUGUUGUUCCUUCGUGAAGUUCUGAUGUUCUCCGAGCCGUUCUGGUUCCUCUUCGCAGAACUUCUGCAGGUUUCUGUGAAACCGAGCAGCUGCCGGUUAGUUAGCUGGUUAGCCUGAGGUGCUAUGAUGGAUGUUCAUGAAGGUGAAUCAUCUCCCCCUUUCUCGUUGAUCUGUUUCCUUGUCGUCAGAAAACAGAAACCUCAUUAGAAGAUUAACAUCAUUCAUUAACCUAAAUAUUACAGAUAUUUCAUCCAAUCAGAGAGCAGAGCACCAUGAAGCUCUAGAGCUCUUAUUUCAUUGAGGACCGUUGUGUUGUUGGUGCUGUUUUGUGCGUCAUUUAUUGUAAACAGAUGAAUGUGGACCACAGAGGAGAUGAAUUUUUAUUACAGUAACAGAGACAUCAACACAAAUAUAAAUGAUGAUGAAGUUUCCUAUGAAAUUCUAAAGUUGCGGACAUCAUUCACUGUGUUACAUGAACUGUUCCAGUCUUGCCCUGACAGUGGCACAUUUCCUACACACUGGCAGAAACCUGUUAUAAAACCUAUUCCUAAGCAUACAAGAAAUGACCCCAAGCUGCCUCUUAGCUAUAGGGGUAUGGGUCUAAUUAAAGCUGCAAGCAGUGUCGGUUGGGUCCUCGCAUCCUUGUGGCUCGGCUUUCCCACGUGUGUCCACGAGCUGACACUGCAACUGAGAGUGUAUUUCGGCCUAUGGAUGUGAUUAUGACUGGAUUCUGAUCACAAAUGUAAAGUCUGAGGCAGAUUGGAGCAUGUAGAGGGUAGUUAGACAGCACUUCCUGUUUGACGGUGAAACAUCCACAAUGGCCACAUUCCGCUGGUCACGAUUUCUACGCCUUCAGAUUUUUGCUGAGCAAUUUGAUAACUUUUGAUCACCCAUGACUGGUGUACAUCCUGGACAAAUUUCAGCUCUCUCGGGGUUAGCCUGCUUGAGUUUAUAGCUUUUGAAAAUGUACAAAAAUGACAAAAAAAUGUCCAAAGAAUCAGAGAAUCACAAAAAAACAUUUAAUUGGGACAUCUCCAACGGUCAACCCUGGGCUAAUGAGCUAAAAAUCUGUAUUUCAUUUGAACAACUCAUCAUUUAUUUGUGAUAACAGGUUAUUCUGUGAUAUUCAGGUGAUGAGGAGGAAUAUGUUCCUUAGGCUUAGAGAAAAAUGGUCUGUUGAUAUUUAGUAUAAACCAAAAUUACAAACUUAUUGUCUUAUAAAGGACAGAUACGGUGUGGAACCUGAGUGCACGGCAACACUCAGGAAGCAUUAGCUUUAGAGACUGGGAGGUUUAUUGCUGCUCCAGAGAACGGCACACUUUGUUUGAUGUGUUAUUUUAUGUUUUACUGUUCUCUAUAUGAGGAUAUCAGGGAGGUACAUUACAGUAGGAUGUCCUGUGUUUAUUUUGAUUUCUCUUGGUUGGAUGGCCAUGAAAACUAGAGUUAUGUUUAGAAGGGGAACCUUUUCAUGGCAGAAUUUCUUUGCCAGGCAACAUGUUUAGUUUGAGAACUGAGCAGCAGAAUAAUGUGUGUUUUGGAUGUAUUACUGCAAUGCUAGCAUACUGGUGUCUUGUAAACCCAUGAGGAUUGGGCACACUUCUGUGCAUGAUGCGAAAAUAAAGAAAUCAUAUCAUAUCAUAUAUAAAACAAGAAAAACAAAACACAGAAUGACUCCAAAGAGACAAAAAACCAACGCUUUAAUCCUGCUAAAUAAAGUAUUUUAUAUCUAAAAUCUGAGAUUUAGAUACUAAUAAUUCUGUGUUCAUUUAAUUAAAAAAAUCAUCAAGAGAAUAAAUAUUUUACAGUUUAAACCUGCUUUUUUCCUUUACAUAGUUUGUCUGUUUGUUGUUAAUUUAACUGUAAAACUUUCAGAAUUAAGUGAAAAGCAGCAAAACUUCACAUUCAAGGAGCUCAACUUGAUGAAUAUUUCAUCGAUUUUACAUAUAUUUACAUAAUUAGUCUGAUAAAUGACUCAGACUUUCAGAGUUUUUAGCCCACGGUAGAUUUUCCAGACCAUUAACAUGCCACUGUACCACUGAGUUAAAACGCAGAUUAAACGUAUUCAUUUUCA
Molecule: long non-coding RNA, 2679 nt
Organism: Amphiprion ocellaris (clown anemonefish)
Lineage: Eukaryota; Metazoa; Chordata; Actinopteri; Pomacentridae
Exons: 2
Source: RefSeq, a predicted model, not a curated record